CAGUACACAGCAAAAAAUAAUGUAAUCCGCCUCGAUGUAAUGCGACUGAUGUAUCAGAAAACCGAUGUAAUCGCUUUUUUCAGAUGCACAAUCACACCGAUUUUGCGUAGAAUCACAUCUGUCUCAACAUUACACAAAAAACAAAUAACGAUUCUCCUUUCCGUUAUGUUUGUGUAAUAUUCACAUCGAGCAAAUGUGAAUAUUACACAGAAACAGCUGCAACCAACUGGUUGUGCCAACAUUGUGUACGAUUACACAAAGUCGAUGUCAUAUCACAUUAGUUUGCGAUGCAAUAUUAUGUCUCGCAACACUGCUGUCAUCGACCGCAGUCUCGCGAUCCAGGCCGAUCAAGCAGCCAUGUUUUUUUUUUUUCAUCUCAUCGGAGUGGCUGCUGUUUUUUCUACUUUUGUUGGUGAAGAUCCCGACGAGCAGAUGCUGAACCUGGAAACUGAAUGCAAGCGGAUGAUAGUGAGCGGCCAAUUUGGCUGUCACCCGAAGAGAUUUCACCGGUUUCCCUCAAGCUCCCUCUUCAAAGUAAGCGUUCCAGCUGGUUCCAGCAAAUCAGAAGGUUUUGUUCCAAAUCGAUGGUAUCAUAAUGAAGCCACUUCCGGGCUAUUGCAGAAAGUAUGUGACCGCUGAAGGCGCCCUAAGAAAUUG
This is a long non-coding RNA of Aedes albopictus (Asian tiger mosquito), 657 nucleotides long. RefSeq lists it as uncharacterized. The transcript has 2 exons. Lineage: Eukaryota; Metazoa; Arthropoda; Insecta; Diptera; Culicidae. The record is from RefSeq and is a predicted model, not a curated record.